RNAcentral lists this ribosomal RNA (633 nucleotides) under uncultured bacterium. RNAcentral describes it as "bacterial SSU rRNA". It matches the Rfam family "Bacterial small subunit ribosomal RNA", at positions 63 to 692 of the family's 1533-position model. The record is from RNAcentral.
CGAACGGAGCACCCCUGAUGGAGUUUUCGGACAACAGAUGGGAAUGCUUAGUGGCGGACGGGUGAGUAACGCGUGAGGAACCUGCCUUGGAGAGGGGAAUAACACAGUGAAAAUUGUGCUAAUACCGCAUGAUGCAGUUGGGCCGCAUGGCCCUGACUGCCAAAGAUUUAUCGCUCUGAGAUGGCCUCGCGUCUGAUUAGCUGGUUGGUGGGGUAACGGCCCACCAAGGCGACGAUCAGUAGCCGGACUGAGAGGUUGACCGGCCACAUUGGGACUGAGACACGGCCCAGACUCCUACGGGAGGCAGCAGUGGGGAAUAUUGGGCAAUGGGCGCAAGCCUGACCCAGCAACGCCGCGUGAAGGAAGAAGGCUUUCGGGUUGUAAACUUCUUUUAUGAGGGACGAAAGAAAUGACGGUACCUCAUGAAUAAGCCACGGCUAACUACGUGCCAGCAGCCGCGGUAAUACGUAGGUGGCAAGCGUUAUCCGGAUUUACUGGGUGUAAAGGGCGUGUAGGCGGGACUGCAAGUCAGAUGUGAAAAUUAUGGGCUCAACCCAUAACCUGCAUUUGAAACUGUAGUUCUUGAGUGAUGGAGAGGCAGGCGGAAUUCCGUGUGUAGCGGUGAAAUGCGUA